GACGAACGCUGGCGGCGUGCUUAACACAUGCAAGUCGAACGGAAAGGCCUCUUUCGGGGGGUACUCGAGUGGCGAACGGGUGAGUAACACGUGAGUAACCUGCCCUUGACUUUGGGAUAACUUCAGGAAACUGGGGCUAAUACCGGAUAGGAGCUCCUGCUGCAUGGUGGGGGUUGGAAAGUUUCGGCGGUUGGGGAUGGACUCGCGGCUUAUCAGCUUGUUGGUGGGGUAGUGGCUUACCAAGGCUUUGACGGGUAGCCGGCCUGAGAGGGUGACCGGCCACAUUGGGACUGAGAUACGGCCCAGACUCCUACGGGAGGCAGCAGUGGGGAAUAUUGCACAAUGGGUGGAGGCCUGAUGCAGCAACGCCGUGGGCGGGAGGACGGCCUUCGGGUUGUAAACCGCUUUCGCUCAUGACGAAGCUUUGUGUGACGGUAGUGGGUAAAGAAGCACCGGCUAACUACGUG
Molecule: ribosomal RNA, 467 nt
Filed under: uncultured bacterium
Lineage: Bacteria
Description: partial 16S ribosomal RNA
Rfam family: Bacterial small subunit ribosomal RNA
Source: RNAcentral